UACGAAGGGUGCAAGCGUUGUUCGGAAUUACUGGGCGUAAAGCGCACGUAGGCGGCUUUGUAAGUUAGAGGUGAAAGCCCGGGGCUCAACCCCGGAAUUGCCUUUAAGACUGCAUCGCUUGAAUCCGGGAGAGGUGAGUGGAAUUCCGAGUGUAGAGGUGAAAUUCGUAGAUAUUCGGAAGAACACCAGUGGCGAAGGCGGCUCACUGGACCGGUAUUGACGCUGAGGUGCGAAAGCGUGGGGAGCAAACAGG
Molecule: ribosomal RNA, 253 nt
Filed under: uncultured bacterium
Lineage: Bacteria
Description: partial 16S ribosomal RNA
Rfam family: Bacterial small subunit ribosomal RNA
Source: RNAcentral